This 246-nucleotide ribosomal RNA is filed under the name uncultured bacterium. RNAcentral's name for it is "partial 16S ribosomal RNA". It matches the Rfam family "Bacterial small subunit ribosomal RNA", at positions 523 to 769 of the family's 1533-position model. The record is from RNAcentral.
AUACGUAGGGGGCGAGCGUUAUCCGGAAUUAUUGGGCGUAAAGAGUGCGUAGGUGGUUUUGUAAGCGCGAGGUGAAAGGCUAUGGCUCAACCAUAGUAAGCCUUGUGAACUGUGAGACUUGAGUGCAGGAGAGGAAAGUGGAAUUCCUAGUGUAGCGGUGAAAUGCGUAGAUAUUAGGAAGAACACCAGUGGCGAAGGCGGCUUUCUGGACUGAAACUGACGCUGAGGCUCGAAAGCGUGGGGAGC